This 483-nucleotide ribosomal RNA is filed under the name uncultured bacterium. Its description in RNAcentral is "partial 16S ribosomal RNA". It matches the Rfam family "Bacterial small subunit ribosomal RNA", at positions 28 to 506 of the family's 1533-position model. The record is from RNAcentral.
AUUGAACGCUGGCGGCAUGCUUUACACAUGCAAGUCGAACGGCAGCGCGGGCUUCGGCCUGGCGGCGAGUGGCGAACGGGUGAGUAAUGCAUUGGAACGUGCCCAGUAGUGGGGGAUAGCCCGGCGAAAGCCGGAUUAAUACCGCAUACGACCUGAGGGUGAAAGCGGGGGACCGAAAGGCCUCGCGCUAUUGGAGCGGCCGAUGUCGGAUUAGCUAGUUGGUGGGGUAAAGGCUUACCAAGGCGACGAUCCGUAGCUGGUCUGAGAGGACGACCAGCCACACUGGGACUGAGACACGGCCCAGACUCCUACGGGAGGCAGCAGUGGGGAAUUUUGGACAAUGGGGGCAACCCUGAUCCAGCCAUGCCGCGUGCGGGAAGAAGGCCUGCGGGUUGUAAACCGCUUUUGUUCGGGAAGAAAUCCUCUGGGCUAAUACCCCGGGGGGAUGACGGUACCGGAAGAAUAAGCACCGGCUAACUACGU